This is a long non-coding RNA of Meriones unguiculatus (Mongolian gerbil), 4043 nucleotides long. RefSeq lists it as uncharacterized. NCBI's taxonomy places the organism in Eukaryota, Metazoa, Chordata, Mammalia, Rodentia, Muridae. The transcript has 2 exons. The record is from RefSeq and is a predicted model, not a curated record.
CCCGCCGAGCGCGGGCGCCACAGCGAGCCCCCGAAGCCCAGCUUUGGGGGUGCCUGGACCGGGGAAGGUGGGGGAGAGGCGGGGGGAGGGGAGGGCGGCGCAGGCCGCGGACCAGCGCCCGGCCUGCGGGGGGGAGGGGCGCCACCCCCGCGCGCGCCCCCGAGGCUCCCGGCCCGCGCGGGGGCGGGGAGGAGGCCGCGGCCGGGCGGUCGCCGCGCCCCAGUUGAAAACGCGCCCAAGCGGGAAGCUGGCAAGUAGAACCCCCCCCCCCGAGACACACACACACACAGUCCCGCGCCCACUUUCGGACCUCGCCGCGCGCCCGGGGCGGGAGACUCGCGGCCCAGUUCCCGCCAAGCGCGGGCGCGUCCGGAGGGUCGGGCCAAGUCGCCUGAGGACACGCUGGUGGCGGACGCCAAUCCUGGAGAGGCGGGGCAGCCAGGUGCAGCCGGCCGGGCCGCGCCGAGACGGCCCCCGCGUCGCAGGUGGCGGCCGCCCCGGCGGAGGGACGACGGGGCUCGCCCUCUCCCUAGGCCGCGCUUCUUGCUGCAAGAUGGCUGUGUUUUUGUCAGCCUCCGGAACAAUGUGCAACGCAGCUGUAGCUGUCUAGGGCCCGGCCGGCGGUCCGGCCGGAGUGGCCCUGUCAGCCGCUUCGCCGUUGGAAGAUGGCUGUGCCGAGAAAUCUCGUUGACACGAUCGUCUAGAAUGUUGUCAGCUGUAAGAGGUUGACCGCGGCAGGUCUAAGGAAGAGCCGCUUUAGGGCUUGCUGCGUUACCCGCUUUCCCACUGCUCAGCAGCUUGGGGAACAGACUGCAUAGCUCAAGUUCUCAUUAACUGACCCACAAACAUCUCAACCAUCCCCGGAUGGUACUGACCAGGCUCCCACAACUUCGUGAAGGCUCUCGGUCCUGAAGAAGAUCCAGGCAGUGAAGGAGAUAAAUUUCAUAGAUGAAGGGCAGUACUAUAUGUAAUCUGAAGCCCUCUCGAAGCAGUUUUGUCAUAAACAUUAUCCUGAAACAGAUAUGUGGAAAUCAGAUAGGAGAGAAGAAAUGGAUUUGUCCAAGGUCACUUAAGGGAGGAACAGACCCUGGAGAAAGAAAAACUCCAGGCCUCCCGUUUCAUUAUUUUUUAAUGAGUGUUAAGUGUUAAUGUGAUGAACACACGCAAUCUGUAGUACUGUCCUGAAAGCACAUAUGCAAAGAAGCCUCCACUGCGCUGGCAGGGAAGAAUUCCUAUAAUCCGAGCCAAGAAGCCUUUUUUUUUUUUUUUUUCUUUUGCUUGUUUGUUUUGUUUUCAGGAAACUAAAAUAUUUGUUGCUGGAUUUAUCCAAGAAGGCUGUUACGUAUCAAUUGAGUCAAUCCUAUCUCCAAGAAUGUUAACGUGUCAUGGAUAGUGCUCUCUUUCUUUGUAUUCUUGCUAGGUUUUCCCAUACUUCCUGCUGCCUUUAAGCAAAUAUUUCUGAGGGAUGGACUGCGUCAGAUGAACCACUUAGUGAAGAGUGCGGGUUCUCCGAACCAACUGAAGUCCAUAUGUAACAUGGCAGCAGUAAGGUUGAUUUGUGUGACGGUAGUCCACGAGCUCUUUCUGGGAUUAUGACUGGUUAUCCUGUUAGCAAUGGCUGGGAAUGUUACAGUGAACAGCGCCUGUAAUAAGUCCUGCCCUAGUUGAGGCUCUCUCUCCCACACUCUCACUCAGAAUUGCCUCACCCAGGGAAGCUGUACUUGGCCAGGGGACAGGAUGCUUUGGGGCCCUAAGCGUGUCAAGAGACUGUAGCUAAGGGAAAUGAUGGAGAUUUUGUUUCCAGUUAAUGGAGGGUAGGAGAGCUGCUAGUGGAAAAAAAAAAAAAAAAAAAGCCUUGAGCCUUUUCUUUCCAAGAAGGAUUCUUAAGGGGACCCAGAGGCUACUCUUGUGUUCUUUCAGAGGGGAUCUCCCUGUGUAGUUCCUGGCUUAGCCUGGAACUGACAUGUAGAGCAGCAGGCUCCCCUCCGACUCAAGAGAUCUGCCCGCCUCCUAAAUGCUGGGAUUAAAGGCACAUGCCACCACACCCAGCUGCCAGACUCCACUUGUGGAGAUCACUUACGACUUCAGCAUUUGGAGUUUAUAAUAAUAGGAGAGGGGGAUCAAAUUAAGCUAAAAUAUUUCUCCUAGCAAAGAAUAAUUAUGGCCACUGAUUAAGAUUUGCUUAUAAGCCAGGUGCACGAGCACAUGCCUGUGAUCCAAGCACUUGGGGAGGCAGAGGCAGGCGAACCUGGUCUACAAAGUGAGUCCAGGACAGCCAAGGCUACACAGAGAAACCCUGUCAUAGGAAAACAAAACAACAACAAAAAGAUUUGCUUAUAAAUGAAAGGAUGGGAUGACUUGCCAAAGCUAGGUUUGAUGAUGCAUGCUUCCAAUCCCAACAAUCCUUUAUCAGAUGCAGAUGGUUGGCUGGGAGUUUGAGGCUAGCCUGCGCUACAUAGGGAGUUCCAAAUCAGUCAAGACCACAUGGGGAGACUCUAUCAAAAGUACAAAAACAAAGAAUGUCAGUCACUAUAUAUUCUUCUUUUUUGGUCACCAAGCACAAAGAAUACUGCCUGUUGGAGAUGUUUCUGAAUACUUAACAUUUUCUUUGUGGUGUUGAUUUCAGGCUGUCGUUUGUUUAUUGUCUGUUUCCUGCCAGGAAGAACAUAAACUCUAGAAAGUUUUGCCUGUUUCUUCUGUUGAAGCGUUGCCCCACCACAUCCCUUCUACCUCUUUGGUUUGGAGCCCCUUUUCUGCUGGCUGUAACCGUUAGGAAAUCCCACCUACUCCCAGGGAAGUCAUACACAAAAGUAGGCGACACUCCCGUAUGCCCAGCUUGUUGAGCCAUGACCAAUCUUGUGUUCCAUCUGCACUGUUUUUGUUUCGACAGAUCUCAGUCUGGCCUUGAACUCUUGAUUCUUUGCCUAAGUCUCUGGCAUGUGCCACCUACCACACCCAACUCUGAUGAACCUUUUGAAUAUCAUAACUAUAGAUUCUCUUUAUUGAAAAGCAUGGAUCAUGUGUCCUAUGGCCUCAGACCCUCACCUUUCUCCAAAACUUUCUCCUCUUGUCCAGAAAAUAGUGUCAUCUAUUCAAGUGCUCAGUCCACAGUUCAGACUACAUCCUAGAUCAUCCUCUGCCUUUCCUGGGAAAUUUUUAUCUGAGACAAGGUCUUAUGCUGGCCAGGCAGCUUCUCUGAAGUGCGGGGAAAAGUGUGCCAACACACUUGGGGUUUUGUUUGGUGUUGUUUUCAAGACAGGGUUUCUCUGUAUAACCCAGAGAUCCACCUACCUUUGCCUGCCAGGUGCUGGGAUUGAAAGCAUGUGCAGCCGUUACCUCAGCCACACUUGGUUUUGUGUGGUGCCAAGGGAUCAAACCGAGUGCUUUGUUCUAAGAAAUCAUUCUGCCAAUUGAGCUACAUCUUCAAUUCCGUCUUCCCUUUAUUAGCAAAUGCAAUCUUGAGAUGGGAUGGGAUUUAAUGCUAAUACCCCAACAAAACAUUUUCAUUUGUAAACUAGAUACAGUUAAACUUUUUUGAGACAGCAUCUCAUGUAGUCCAGGCUGGCCUGAAACUUGCUAUGUAGCUAAGGAUGGUUUGUCUUAAACUUCUGAGCCUCCUGCUUCUGCUUCGCAAGAGCUGGGAUUACAGAUGUGCACCCACCGUGCCUAGUUUUAUUUGGUUCUGGGGCUCAAGCCCAGGGCUGCUGUGUGUAUCAGCCAAGCACUCCACUAACUGGGCUUCGUUCUCAGUCACCAGCUGUAGUGUUUAAAGGACAUCACGUUUUUUCCUUUAUUUUAUGUGGCUGAUGUUUCGCCUGCUUGUAUGUCUGCACUGUCUGUAUAGUGCCCUCCCACUCCAGAAGAGGACAUCAGAUCUGCAGGGGACUGGAGUUACAGAUGGUUGUCAGCCACUAGGAUGUCCAAGCAUGAAAAACUGGGCCCUGCAGAGUCUGGUGUACUUCAUUCGCAAGUGAAAAAAUAGGAGAUCAUUCACCAGGGCUAAUCAUCACCAGUUAUGUUCCAUUAAACUCAGUAUAUAUUAA